RNAcentral lists this transfer RNA (90 nucleotides) under Nitrospinota bacterium. RNAcentral describes it as "tRNA-Ser". It matches the Rfam family "tRNA". Rfam says of the family: Transfer RNA (tRNA) molecules are approximately 80 nucleotides in length. Their secondary structure includes four short double-helical elements and three loops (D, anti-codon, and T loops). Lineage: Bacteria; Pseudomonadati; Nitrospinota. The record is from RNAcentral.
GGAGAGGUGACCGAGCGGCUGAAGGUGCACGCCUGGAAAGCGUGUGUGCGUUAACGCGUACCGGGGGUUCGAAUCCCCCCCUCUCCGCCA